CUAUGGGGGGCUGCAGUGAGGAAUAUUGCACAAUGGAGGAAACUCUGAUGCAGCAACGCCGCGUGGAGGAUGACGCAUUUCGGUGUGUAAACUCCUUUUAUAUGUCAAGAAAAUGACGGUAGCAUAUGAAUAAGCACCGGCUAACUCCGUGCCAGCAGCCGCGGUAAUACGGAGGGUGCAAGCGUUACUCGGAAUCACUGGGCGUAAAGGACGCGUAGGCGGGAUAUCAAGUCAGGUGUGAAAUCCUACAGCUUAACUGUAGAACUGCACUUGAAACUGGUAACCUAGAGUAUGGGAGGGGGAGAUGGAAUUAGCGGUGUAGGGGUAAAAUCCGUAGAUAUCACUAGGAAUACCUAAAGCGAAGGCGAUCUCCUGGAACAUAACUGAUGCUAAGGCGUGAAAGCGUGGGGAGCAAACAGGAUUAGAUACCCCCGUAGUC
RNAcentral lists this ribosomal RNA (439 nucleotides) under uncultured bacterium. RNAcentral's name for it is "partial 16S ribosomal RNA". It matches the Rfam family "Bacterial small subunit ribosomal RNA", at positions 339 to 795 of the family's 1533-position model. The record is from RNAcentral.